This 248-nucleotide ribosomal RNA is filed under the name uncultured bacterium. RNAcentral describes it as "partial 16S ribosomal RNA". It matches the Rfam family "Bacterial small subunit ribosomal RNA", at positions 796 to 1041 of the family's 1533-position model. The record is from RNAcentral.
CACGCUGUAAACUAUGGGUACUAGGUUUUGGGAGUGUCGACCCUUUCAGAACCGUAAGCUAACGCGUUAAGUACCUCGCCUGGGAAGUACGGUCGCAAGACUAAAACUCAAAGGAAUUGACGGGAGCCCGCACAAGCGGUGGAGCAUGUGGUUUAAUUCGUCAGUAAGCGAAGAACCUUACCAAGGCUUGACAUCCUCGGAAUUUUCUGGAAACAGAGAAGUGCCGCAAGGAGCCGAGUGACAGGUGC